This 301-nucleotide ribosomal RNA is filed under the name uncultured bacterium. Its description in RNAcentral is "partial 16S ribosomal RNA". It matches the Rfam family "Bacterial small subunit ribosomal RNA", at positions 509 to 807 of the family's 1533-position model. The record is from RNAcentral.
CAGCAGCCGCGGGAAUACAGAGGGUGCGAGCGUUAAUCGGAUUUACUGGGCGUAAAGCGUGCGCAGGCGGUGUUGUAAGACUGAUGUGAAAUCCACGGGCUCAACCUGGGAACUGCAUUGGUGACUGCAAUGCUGGAGUGCGGCAGAGGGGGAUGGAAUUCCGCGUGUAGCAGUGAAAUGCGUAGAUAUGCGGAGGAACACCGAUGGCGAAGGCAAUCCCCUGGGCCUGCACUGACGCUCAUGCACGAAAGCGAGGGGAGCAAACAGGAUUAGAUACCCCCGUAGUCCCUGUCUCUUAUAC